CUAAUAAGGGUAAACUAAAUAUUUAGAUCGAGGCGUAAGUAAUUUUUACGAAAAAUAAAAAAAAUUAAGGUGUAACCUUAUUUAUUCCCUCAAAAGAAAACUUAUUUUAAAAAUUAUCAAAUUUUUAAAAUUACAUAAAUAUAAAAGAUUUAUGUAAAAACAAAAGCGAAUUGAAACAUCUUAGUAGCUUGGAAAAAAAUCAAAAGAGAGUUCGAAAGUAAUGGCGAAUGAAAUCGAAUCAGUUUAAGGUUAAUAAUUUUAAAAUAAUGAAAUGUCGCCCAUUUGAAACAAAGUAAAUAAUUAAGACUUGUAAUUGCAAAAUUAUUUUCCGUUGAUCGAAGCGUAAGAAACUAUGUUUCGUUGUAGAAUUAACUACUUAACAAAAAAUCUAAAUUUUUAUAGUGUAAAGUACCGUGAGGGAAAGUAAUUAACUUUGGGUAGCUUUUAAUUUAUUAGCUUAUUAACAAUUUUUUUAAUAAAAAUGUGUACCUUUUGCAUUAUGGUUCAGGGAGUUAAAUUUAAUAGCAAGCUUAAGUAAAAUUAUAAAGCGUAAAAAAAUUGUUUUAGUAGUUAUUAAAUUUAGACACGAAACCGCUGUGAUCUAAUCAAAUUCAGGUUGAAAAUUUAGUAAAAAUAAAUGGGAAGACCGAAGUAGUGUUUGUUGCAAAAAACUUAUGUGAAAUUUGAUUUGGAGUGAAAGGCUAAUCAAACGCGGCGAUUGCUUGUUUUCUGCGAAAUUUUUUUUAGAAAAGCGUUUAAAAAUUAAAUUUAUAAGGUAAAGCACUGGUUUUUUUGAGGUUGAUUAAUUUCAUUACAAGAUUUUUCCAAACUCUGAAUUUAUAAAUAAUAUUUUAAACAGUCAGAUUGUUAGCGAGAAAGUUGAUAAUCAAAAGAGAAACAACUCCAAAUGAUUUUUAAGGUUUUAAAAUAAACUUUUAAAUAAAGAAAAUUUUUAGUUUGAACAACAUUGAAGUAAGCUUAGAAACAGCUAUCUUUUUUAUAAAAACGUAACAGUUUCAAUGCAAACACAAAAAAUUGUCCAAAAUAUAAUGAAAUUUAGGUUUUACCGAAAAAUCAUAAUAAAUAUAAAGUAUUUAUUGGUAGCAGAACGAUUUGUUUUUUUUUACCUUUUUGUGAAAAAUUGUACGUAAAAACUCAAAUUCGAUAAUCCUGAAAUUAGUAACAAAAAAAGUUAUAAAACUUUUCACCAGAUAUUUUAGGUUUUCUUCGUUAAAUUAUAUUUCGUUGAGUUAUACGAACUCUUAUUUUUAGGUAAAUACUUUAAAAAGAUGAGCAAUUGUAAGACAUAUCAGAUUUUAUUAACAAUUAAAUUCUUAUCAAAAACAAGAAUAAUGAGCUUUUUCUUUAUUUAAGGUUAAAAGAUUUCGCAAGUGAUUCUUCGGGAAAAAUUGAACUUGAUUUUUGUCUUACAAAAAUUCGUAUUUAAACCAAAAAAGGUUAAUUUGUUUAGCAAAAUAAUGGUGUAAAAAUUAAAGAAAAAUAUGGAACUCGGCAAACUAGCUCCGAACCUUAGGAAGAAGGAGUGGCAAUUUUAACAAAUAAAUUGCUGUAAAAAAAGGAAAUCCACAACUGUUUAUUAAAAACACAUGAUCAUGCCAAUUUUUAAAAGAAAGUAUAUGAUCUGACUUGUGCUAAAUGCUUGAAAAUUGAAAAAAAAAUUGUUUUGCUUUUUUAUAAAAACGAGCUAAUAGCAGUCUUAUUCCUGAGGAUUGUAAUGUAGCGAAAUUCCUUGUCCACUAAAUAUGGUCCCGCAUGAAUCAAGUAAUGAUGGAUUUGCUGUCAUGUUUUUCUGUUUUGUGAAUUUGAAGUAGGAGUGCAGAUUCUCUUUUCCAAAAUUAAGACGAAAAGACCCUAUAAAACUUUACUAAAAACAAUUAUUGCUAAAAUUCAACAUUCUGUUCAGAGUAAACAAGAGCUUAUGAAAUUUUUUAUUUAAAAAGUUGAAGCGGCGCUGAGAAAUUGUUCUUUAUUGGAUUAAAGCUAAUUUUUUAAAAAGACAGUGAUUGUUCGUUAGUUUCUUUGGGGCGAAGUUCUUUUAAAAGGUAACAAAGAAGUGCAAAGGCAAAUUAAUUUGAAAAAUUUCAUUUUAAAACGAAAAAGUAUAUAUUUGCUUAACUGUAAGGUUGAUAUACCAAGCAGAAAUUAACGUUGGCUUUAUUGAACCAACUUUUUUGAUUAAAAAAGAAGUUGUUCAUCAGAUAAAAGUUACUUUAGGGAUAACAGAAUUAUAAAAAUCAAGCGAUCAGAGCGAAAUUUUUGUUUGUGACCUCGAUGUCGAGUGCGAUCUGUUGUGCUGAAAUGUAAGAGACAUACUUACCGGGAUUCACGAUACUUCGGUAUUAACUGGUUAUUCAGAUAGGUGAAACUCCUAUAUGUCUUACUUCCAUAGACAUUGAUCAUACAUCCAAUGAUUAUAAAUUGGAGCGUCCCCAGCCGAAUUUGAGCCUAAAUCUCUUAUAAGGUGGAAGCGGGGGUAAAAGUAGCUGGUCUAUGUAUGCGUUGCAUAGUUCACUAUGAGAAUGGUUGUAUAAGGAUUACAGAAAGGAAACCAAUGUAGUAAAACGUCUUAAACGAGGAUUUCUGGGUUAUAACGCAGUGCUGAAAAGCGUCCAGGGGCCUAAAUAGAGGCAAUGUCGCGUUACAUUUGUGUAGAUGUAGAUAAUCUUACUUCGAACGACAGAAGGGGAUGGAAGUUAUAGCGUCAGGCGUAAAGUUGGGAUCCUAUACAAGAGAAAGAAUGAAUAACCGGAACAGAGUAACUUGUUAAUAGCUCCGAAGUAAGCCUUGUCUUCGUGCAAGCGACGGUGGGAUUUAGCUAUAUGCUAUUAACAAGAAGGAUUCGAUAAAAAGCAAAUGGUUCUGUGUAAUGUAAAACAUACGCUGACGUAUCGACGGUGCAGAUAUAUAAUAUACUGAAGAGGGUUUCGGAUCUUCUAUACCUUAAUAAUAAAUAAUAGAUGAAAUGAAAAAACAUGAAAUGAAAAGAGAUCAAAUGAUCUGAAAUUGAAUUAACUGUUUUUAACUUCCAAACACAAAUAUAUAAGCAAUCGCAGUUAGGUAAAGUGAAAGCCUGUCAGGAAUUUCAAAGAGAGCUUGUCAAGAGUUUAGAAGCUAAGCUUUUAGCCGUAAGACGAGUGACUCAGGAUAAUGCGGGUAAAUCGACAGCAGGGGUUGAUGGUGUCAAAACUGUUAAACCGGAUAAUAGAAUGGAGCUAGCAAGCUCACUAAUACUUGAUGGAAGUGCGUCCAAGAUACGUAGGGUUAAUAUAUCAAAAGGAAACGGUAAAAUGAGACCUCUUGGAAUACCAACUAUUAAAGAUCGCUGUAAACAAAUGUUAGUUAAACUGGCUCUUGAGCCAGAGUGAGAAGCAAAAUUUGAAAAUAACGUUUACGGUUUUAGACCUUGGAUACUCGGCUUUCGACGUGAAACAUUCGAUUAUUCGACAGAUUCAAGGCUCCGAAAUAUUUCCUCGACGCGGAUAUUAAAGGUUGUUUUGACAAUAUAAGUCACAAGAAACUUCUAGAGAAGCUUGCGACGCUACCAAUGUUCGAAAAACAAAUUAAGGCUUGACUUGAAGCCGGGAUUAUGGACGGCUUUAAAAAUGAAAUCAGUAGUCUAAAUAAAGCAGGCACGCCGCAAGGGGGGAUAAUCUCUCCGCUCUUGUGUAACGUUGCUCUCCACGGUAUGGAAACAUUACUACUUAAGAAUUUUCGUAGAGAUGGUGUAAAAAUCAUUCGAUACGCAGACGAUUUUCUAGUAAUGGGAAGGAACUUAGAAGAUAUAAAGAAAGCCAAAAGGAUUGUCGUAGACUUUCUUCAAACGGUGGACUUAGAAUUAUCGGAAGAGAAGACACGUAUUGGACAUAGUAUGCACAAAAUGAAUGAAGGCUCGAAAGCGGGUGUUGAUUUCUUAGGGUAUCACUUUAGAAAUUACGAAACUUCCAAACAUCGUGGUGUCAAGUCAACUCAUGGUGUGAAACAAAACUUUAAACAAGUGUCGAUGCCUUCAAAGGAUUCCGUUAAGAGUCAUAAAGAGGAUAUCAAAGACAUUCUAAAAAAGUAUAAAAACGCGCCACGAAAAGCAAUACUAGCGAGACUUUCAGCAAAUAUUCAAGGCUGGACUCAAUACCAUGCAGUGACACAGUGCAGUCGCUACUUUUCCUAUUUAGACAAGUGAUUGUUCUGGGCGCUUUUCCAUUGAGCGGUUAAGCGCUACAAAAGCCACGAGACAGCUAUUAAAAAGUGUUUUAGUGUAAAAGGGUGGAAAUUCGGAUUUAUUUCUGAAGGGAAAUCUUAUAUUCUAAAUCGCCCCGACCAGACGCUUGUUCGCAAGUAUGUUAAAAUCAAAGCAGGUGCUUCUAUAUAUAGUGGUGACAUAUUGUACUUCUGUAAUAGGAUGGUCGCAGCACAAUUCCAGAAUAAAGCGACUGGUUAAAUUGAUGAAAAGCCAAGAUUUUCGUUGUGAUUAUUUUAAGUUGCGCUUUAUGCCAUAUGAUUUAAUCGAGUUACAUCACGUUUUAGACGAUAAAAAGUCAAGAACUGGCGAAAUGAAAUUUCUUCAUCGACAUUGUCACGACAGCGUUCACGGUAGCCAUAACUAAACUGAAGAUUGCGCACUGAGGAGCCGUGUGAUGGGAGACUAUCACGCACGGUUUUGUAAGAGAGGUGAGGUUGGUAACAACCACAUCGACUCUAACUUUGUGGUAUCCUCGAGGCGAAGAAGUUUCGAAGGGUUUAACUGUUCGUUAAAUAAAACCGCACAUGAAUUGGGUUUAAAACGACGUAAGUCAGUUUUGUUUCUAUCUAAUUUUGGAUUAAAACUGAGGGGGUUCUUGUUUAGUAUGAGAAGAAUAAUAAGAAGAAGCAAAUUGUGAUUGGUUAUUUUCUAAAAAUACUCAACUAGCAACGCUUUAUAAAAUAAAAAAUGAAAGCAUCUAUUUUUAUUUAAGUUUUCCCCAAUAAAGGUUUUAUUUCUUUAUAAAAUGCUAAAAAUAGUAGUUUAAGACUAAAACUUAGAUCGGCAACUAGUUUUUCUUGUAAAUUUAAGCUUAGUUGUACGAAUUAAUUUAAAUUAAUACUUAGUCUUU
This 5108-nucleotide ribosomal RNA is filed under the name Gephyrocapsa oceanica. The record is from RNAcentral. Lineage: Eukaryota; Haptophyta; Isochrysidales; Noelaerhabdaceae.